Long non-coding RNA from Cyprinus carpio (common carp), 1289 nucleotides. RefSeq lists it as uncharacterized. The record is from RefSeq and is a predicted model, not a curated record. The transcript has 4 exons. NCBI's taxonomy places the organism in Eukaryota, Metazoa, Chordata, Actinopteri, Cypriniformes, Cyprinidae.
AAUGGCAUAACUAAUUAACAGUAAUUAUAAGUUCAGAAUGUUGGUGUUCUUAGUGACUGAAUCUCAAGUCCUUCAUCUGAGUAACAGAAUGAACAUGAAUAAAAAGCAUAUUUUAAAAAUAUCAUGACAAAUUUAAUUUAUAUUUUUGUAACAAUCAACAACUUCCAGUCAGAGAAUAUAAAUGAAAAUGAAAGACAGCAGUGACAAUAGAAACACUGUUCAUGUUUUGACAUUUUGUUUGUGAUAUUUUGAAUCGUGUUCUUAGGUAUAUAAAGGUGCUUUCACACUUGGUUCGCUUGCCUGGUCCGAAUCCGAGUUCGAUUGCUCCCCCCUUCCCCUUCCCCCGCUGGACUAAAUCAUAUUAUUUAUUUGGCUCCGAAACCGCGGUUUGUUUGCGUCAUCAAGCCAGCAGCUGUUUACCCCGUUGCUUAGUAACAGCGGCGCAGGAAAAGGUGACAAAUGCAAAACAUUGCUCUCUUCACUUUUAUAUAUUCAUGUUUUUGAACCGUUCGUUUUGUUUACAAAGCUUCGGUACAUAACGGCACUUGCGUCUGUCUUAUCAAUGUACUGCAAAUGAUCUAAAGAAUGCUGAAGGCGAACAGAAAUUAGAUGUACAGCUAUCUGUUUGCAGCACGUCAGUCACACUCGUCAGGAAAUCACAUCGGUGCCAGUAACAGAUGCUAGUAUAUCAGAUGACUCAAGUUUUAAAUGUUGGUGUCCUGAGAUUUUCAGUCCAAACCAGAGACUGAUGACAUGCGGGGCAAGAUGGAGUGAGAGAACAGAUGAUGACGUGUUACCUGAAAGAAAGACCUCCAGAAGCUCUAUCAAUUCAACUGACUCAGGAUAUGCUUCAAGAAAAUGCACUGGCAUUUUCCCCAUCCCCGAAAUUGAUUAAUAGAAUAAACUAAAUAAUGGUGUUACUUCAAAUAAGACCAGCAGACAUAAACCACCACUAAAAUGCAAUUGUCCCCUCCAGUUGCCACUCCAGAUAUCUCAACCGCAAUUCAGAAGAAAUCAUUUACACAGAUCACUUCCACACUCAGAACAGUCAUUCAGAACAGUUUCUCAAUCAGAAAACAUUAAUGAGCUACUUUACAAUGAUCAGAUUGAAAUUCAAUCAGGAACAUUCAUUAUAUUAUCCAUUAAUCAUAAAUAUUUCAGUUUAUCUUAAUUAAUGAUGCUAAGCAUAUAUAAAUAUUGGUCACUGCUAUUAAAGUUUAUCAAGGGUUGUCAGUAUAAAAUCUGUGAAGAGCACACUAACUAUUUUGCAUUUAAAACUGGAGUUGAUA